CCACGCCGUAAACGAUGAGUGCUAGGUGUUAGGGGGUUUCCGCCCCUUAGUGCUGAAGUUAACGCAUUAAGCACUCCGCCUGGGGAGUACGGCCGCAAGGCUGAAACUCAAAAGAAUUGACGGGGGCCCGCACAAGCGGUGGAGCAUGUGGUUUAAUUCGAAGCAACGCGAAGAACCUUACCAGGUCUUGACAUCCUCUGACAACCCUAGAGAUAGGGCUUUCCCUUCGGGGACAGAGUGACAGGUGGUGCAUGGUUGUCGUCAGCUCGUGUCGUGAGAUGUUGGGUUAAGUCCCGCAACGAGCGCAACCCUUGUCCUUAGUUGCCAGCAUUCAGUUGGGCACUCUAAGGAGACUGCCGGUGACAAACCGGAGGAAGGUGGGGAUGACGUCAAAUCAUCAUGCCCCUUAUGACCUGGGCUACACACGUGCUACAAUGGAUGGUACAAAGGGCAGCAAAACCGCGAGGUCGAGCAAAUCCCAUAAAACCAUUCUCAGUUCGGAUUGACAGGCUGCAACUCGCCUGCAUGAAGCCGGAAUCGCUAGUAAUCGCGAUCAGCUGCCGCGGAUUGCC
RNAcentral lists this ribosomal RNA (572 nucleotides) under Ornithinibacillus sp. RNAcentral's name for it is "bacterial SSU rRNA". It matches the Rfam family "Bacterial small subunit ribosomal RNA", at positions 795 to 1367 of the family's 1533-position model. The record is from RNAcentral. Lineage: Bacteria; Bacillati; Bacillota; Bacilli; Caryophanales; Bacillaceae.